AUCUUCAGACCUCAAAGGACAUAUGCCCAAUAGGAAUCGAUACAGAGAAGAUUAGCAAGGUGCCCUGUGUGAUGACACACAAAAUCGUGAUGCGUUUCCCUUUUUU
Nothobranchius furzeri (turquoise killifish) is the source of this 106-nucleotide small nuclear RNA. Lineage: Eukaryota; Metazoa; Chordata; Actinopteri; Cyprinodontiformes; Nothobranchiidae. The record is from Ensembl.